UGCCAUUAUGGUCGAUUUGAUGUUUAGGAA
Molecule: non-coding RNA, 30 nt
Filed under: Mus musculus (house mouse)
Lineage: Eukaryota; Metazoa; Chordata; Mammalia; Rodentia; Muridae
Source: RNAcentral